Molecule: ribosomal RNA, 465 nt
Filed under: uncultured bacterium
Lineage: Bacteria
Description: partial 16S ribosomal RNA
Rfam family: Bacterial small subunit ribosomal RNA
Source: RNAcentral
GACGAACGCUGGCGGCGUGCUUAACACAUGCAAGUCGUACGGUAAGGCCCUUUCGGGGGUACACGAGUGGCGAACGGGUGAGUAACACGUGAGUAACCUGCCCACAACUUUGGGAUAACGCUAGGAAACUGGUGCUAAUACUGGAUAUGUGCUCCUGCUGCAUGGUGGGGGUUGGAAAGCUCCGGCGGUUGUGGAUGGACUCGCGGCCUAUCAGCUUGUUGGUGGGGUAGUGGCCUACCAAGGCGGCGACGGGUAGCCGGCCUGAGAGGGUGACCGGCCACAUUGGGACUGAGAUACGGCCCAGACGCCUACGGGAGGAAGCAGUGGGGAAUAUUGCACAAUGGGCGCAAGCCUGAUGCAGCAACGCCGCGUGCGGGAUGACGGCCUUCGGGUUGUAAACCGCUUUCAGCAGGGACGAAGCUUUUUGUGACGGUACCUGCAGAAGAAGCACCGGCUAACUACGUG